Molecule: long non-coding RNA, 2722 nt
Organism: Gasterosteus aculeatus aculeatus (three-spined stickleback)
Lineage: Eukaryota; Metazoa; Chordata; Actinopteri; Perciformes; Gasterosteidae
Source: Ensembl
CCCGCGACACGUUGGCUCCGUUAUUUCUCCGUUCAGGCGCCGAUUCGGCGGCGUCCUUCUCCAUCUGCACGGUGCCGCUUUUCUGCACAAGCAUACUUGCAUUUAUCAAUAACGUUCUCAAAUUGAAGUGUGUUUUAUAUAACAUCUCAUUAUCUUCAUUAACUUGCGUCCAGCAGAUAAAGUGAGUCACAGUGAAAGGACCCCCUGAACCAAAUAUACUCACCUGAAAGGUCAAUUGUCUGCCUCCAUUCACGCUCUUUAAUUAAGGCUCAAUAAAUCCAAGCCGGGCCGUCACCCAGGGGCCCCCGGCCUCAGCGCUUCGCAGAUCCAGCUCGAUUUUAAAUGCAGAGAUAAGAGACGCUGAAUACAGAGCGAAUGAAAGGAAGGUUUAUUAAUAUUCUUUUAUAUCACAGACAGUCGUGUGAAGCAACAAAGACGGAGCCCAUGAAACGCCUGAAGCCAUUUCAUCAAAGACAUUGAAAGGCUGCUCCUCCACUCUCCACCUCAGCCAUUCUGCAGAUGUUAUAAUGAACCCAAAGGUGUUAUCAUUUCACGUGGUGAGGUGCAGGUUACUCACAGACAGUAUGAAAGUAUAAAGUGUACGACGUAAGAGGAGCAUGGGAUUAUGGGAACAACAUUCAUCAUUAUGUCAAACAGUGAAUGCGAGACAUGUAGGACAGAGCAUCACACGCACACACACACACACACACACACUGAAGAGGAGUGAUGUCCUGCACGGCGGAGGUGUCAACGCGCUCAGUAUUUCCCUCCCUGGUGUCCGAUGAGAGCUGUUAGGUAACACAAAGCGAGUCUCCCCUCUCGCCCCGCGGCCCACUGUACCUUCAGCUGGAGAGCAUCUGACGUGAACAAACAUUGGGCAAACGUGUCCACGUUGCUAUGACAACCGUCAAAACGUCAGGUCCACCCGCUUAUGCACACUUGACAGCAGUUCUCUCUACUGGAAGGUCGCCUCACGCGCUUUUACAUAUUUCACGUGCUCCUAGAAUGAACUAUUGCGUGUCCUUUGUUCUCUGGGCUUUUCAAGGCGUUUGUGUCGGUAGACGCCCUCGUGUAACCGUCUAACGUUUCUAUGCCCAGCUGGUUUUCUCUGUAUUGUCUGCUCCGCUGCGGUUGAGCCCAGCCUUUGUAUCCUGCAUUGGAUACGUGAUGCCGAUCAAACUCCUUUUGCAGAGAAGGCCUUGGUACGGCGAUAGAGGUUACCGAUCAAAUGCACGACUUCACUGCGCAAAGGUCGUAGCUUUUGAUCUUAUCGUUUUUUUAGACACCAAAAGGAUGAUGAUGAGGGUGGAUGUUAUAGCAAGAGCACAAUGAUGUUCUCCACUCUAUUUACAUGUCUGUUUAAUCCCCUCAGAGCCUCCUGUGUGUGUGUGUGUGUGUGUGUGUGUGUGUGUAAUGAGAUUUGAACUUGCUCUUCCUAAAUGUGUGAAUUCCCAAUGGCCAAAUACCAGGAAGAUAAUGAGCGAGGAAUCACUUCAAGAUAGAGGAACUAUUUAUUCAAGCAUGAAUCAUUGCUGCCUCGGGAGUUUAAGUGAAGUGCGUGUGCGAUCCGUGAACACGUUUAGACCACAUGCAGCUCAUUUUUGCCCUCGCAAAUCUGCUUAUAUAAAGGUCUUUGUUUAGUCCACAUUAGACCCCAAUUUACAAUACGAAUAUCAUGGUGUAUUGAGAGAGACUUUUGAGACAAUAAACUGGUGAAGUAAAUCCAGUGAGAGGUGGGGAUCGACUUCUAAUCCAGACAACCAGAAGAGUCGCCCCCUGCUGGGCGUGAGAGAGAAAGCAGGUUUAAGAUUCCUCCACGUUGGAUACAGCUCAACAGGAAGAGGUCUGCCUCAAACCAAACAAUAUUUAUACAAGCACAUUUGACCGUGCCAUUAACAUUCAAGUCAUUGUUCCCUUUGUCUUGUAUCUUUAUGUUGUGAUGAUGUUAAGAAGUGUGAUGGAUUCAGCCAAGGACCCCUGGAGGUUGCUCUCUCGAAUCAACUUCAAUGGAGAAGCUGCAGUUAAAACUCGCAUCCGUGGUUUUCACCAAAAAAGCUUAAUGAACAACUUUUUGAAUUACAUAACCUGCUGACUCUAAGUAACUCGCUCCGUCCCUUCCUGCAAAACUGGAAGGAGACACAGGGAAACCACUGAUUGACGGUUUUGUCCCCACUGUUCCAUAUUCCCCUUUGUCAUAAAACUACCAAAGCAAAGACGUAAUUAGAGAUGUCGUUGUGGACGAGGUUGAUGGAUGAAAUGAUACAUGAAAACAAAUCUGCAGAAUCUGGGGAAAAACAGGAGACAGAAUUGCCUGGUUGAGCGAGGUUGUCUCUCUCUGCUACUUUCUUCUAUCCGCGUCUAUCUGAUCUUUCUCUCGCAAACACGUACACAAAGCGGUUUGCAAAUAAAAAGAAAAUCCUGGGUGAAUGUGUGUACGUUUUACAGACUUCUGGCCCGGGAAAAGAGUGUGAGCUGUUGGUUCUUUCCACAUGUGAAUGAGAUGGCCCUCUGCAUGAGGCCUAUCAUAUCCCUGCAGGCAGUAUGAAAACAUAUCCUUUAUAUAUUCUGGCAGGCGAAACGCUGAAGCUUCCUUGUGGUUACAAAAUGGAAGGAUGCCCUAUUUUCAUUUCUUGCCCCGAUAAGUGAGGAGAAGGUGAAAUGCUUGGUUUGGCUGACCCCGGCGGGGGAGUCGUCGAAGUCACGUACAGCGGCGGGGGGGGGG